This 822-nucleotide ribosomal RNA is filed under the name Cryptovalsa ampelina. RNAcentral's name for it is "eukaryotic LSU rRNA". It matches the Rfam family "Eukaryotic large subunit ribosomal RNA", at positions 74 to 918 of the family's 3401-position model. Lineage: Eukaryota; Fungi; Ascomycota; Sordariomycetes; Xylariales; Diatrypaceae. The record is from RNAcentral.
AUUGCCCUAGUAACGGCGAGUGAAGCGGCAACAGCUCAAAUUUGAAAUCUGGCCUUCGGGUCCGAGUUGUAAUUUGUAGAGGAUGCUUUUGGUGAAGUGCCUUCCGAGUUCCUUGGAACAGGACGCCUUAGAGGGUGAGAGCCCCGUACGGUUGGACACUGAGCCUCUGUAAAGCUCCUUCGACGAGUCGAGUAGUUUGGGAAUGCUGCUCUAAAUGGGAGGUAAAUUUCUUCUAAAGCUAAAUACCGGCCAGAGACCGAUAGCGCACAAGUAGAGUGAUCGAAAGAUGAAAAGUACUUUGAAAAGAGGGUUAAAUAGCACGUGAAAUUGUUGAAAGGGAAGCGUUUAUGACCAGACCUUUGCCGGGCGGAUCAUCUGGUGUUCUUCACCAGUGCACUUCGCCCGGCUUAGGCCAGCAUCGAUUUCUUUAGGGGGAUAAAGACCUAGGGAACGUAGCUCCCUACGGGGAGUGUUAUAGCCCUAGGUGUAAUACCUCUAGGGGGAUCGAGGUUCGCGCUUCGGCAAGGAUGCUGGCAUAAUGGUCAUCAACGACCCGUCUUGAAACACGGACCAAGGAGUCGAACAUUUAUGCGAGUGUUUGGGUGUUAAACCCUCACGCGUAAUGAAAGUGAACGGAGGUGAGAGCCCUUUAGGGGGUGCAUCAUCGACCGAUCCUGAUGUCUUCGGAUGGAUUUGAGUAAGAGCAUAACUGUUCGGACCCGAAAGAUGGUGAACUAUGCGUGGAUAGGGUGAAGCCAGAGGAAACUCUGGUGGAGGCUCGCAGCGGUUCUGACGUGCAAAUCGAUCGUCAAAUCUGCGCAU